AGUGAACGCUGGCGGCAGGCCUAACACAUGCAAGUCGAACGGCAGCACAGUAAGAGCUUGCUCUUACGGGUGGCGAGUGGCGGACGGGUGAGGAAUACAUCGGAAUCUACUUUUUCGUGGGGGAUAACGUAGGGAAACUUACGCUAAUACCGCAUACGACCUACGGGUGAAAGCAGGGGAUCUUCGGACCUUGCGCGAUUGAAUGAGCCGAUGUCGGAUUAGCUAGUUGGCGGGGUAAAGGCCCACCAAGGCGACGAUCCGUAGCUGGUCUGAGAGGAUGAUCAGCCACACUGGAACUGAGACACGGUCCAGACUCCUACGGGAGGCAGCAGUGGGGAAUAUUGGACAAUGGGCGCAAGCCUGAUCCAGCCAUACCGCGUGGGUGAAGAAGGCCUUCGGGUUGUAAAGCCCUUUUGUUGGGAAAGAAAAGCAGCAGGUUAAUACCCCGCUGUUCUGACGGUACCCAAAGAGUAAGCACCGGCUAACUUCGUG
Molecule: ribosomal RNA, 492 nt
Filed under: uncultured bacterium
Lineage: Bacteria
Description: partial 16S ribosomal RNA
Rfam family: Bacterial small subunit ribosomal RNA
Source: RNAcentral